RNAcentral lists this ribosomal RNA (494 nucleotides) under uncultured bacterium. RNAcentral's name for it is "partial 16S ribosomal RNA". It matches the Rfam family "Bacterial small subunit ribosomal RNA", at positions 28 to 523 of the family's 1533-position model. The record is from RNAcentral.
GAUGAACGCUGGCGGCGUGCCUAACACAUGCAAGUCGAACGGAGUUAUUAUUAUGAAGUUUUCGGAUGGAUUGAUAGUAACUUAGUGGCGGACGGGUGAGUAACGCGUGGGUAACCUGCCUCAUCCAGGGGGAUAACAGCUGGAAACGGCUGCUAAAACCGCAUAACAUUGCACUGCCGCAUGACAGACCAAUUAAAUAUUUAUAGAUAUGAGAUGGGACCUAGUCUGAUUAGUUAGUUGGUAAGGUAAAGGCUUACAAAGGCGACGAUCAGUAGCCGGCUUGAGAGAGCGACCGGCCACAUUGGGACUGAGACACGGCCCAAACUCCUACGGGAGGCAACAGUGGGGAAUAUUGCACAAUGGGGGAAACCCUGAUGCAGCGACGCCGCGUGAGUGAAGAAGUAUUUCGGUAUGUAAAGCUCUAUCAGCAGGGAAGAAAAUGACGGUACCUGACUAAGAAGCCCUGGCUAUCUACGUGCCAGCCGCCGCCGUAA